This 124-nucleotide small nucleolar RNA is filed under the name Cercocebus atys (sooty mangabey). RNAcentral's name for it is "Small nucleolar RNA SNORA26 (ENSCATG00000020798.1)". It matches the Rfam family "Small nucleolar RNA SNORA26". Rfam says of the family: The snoRNA HBI-6 belong to the H/ACA family of snoRNAs, guiding the pseudouridylation of position U4522 if the 28S rRNA. Lineage: Eukaryota; Metazoa; Chordata; Mammalia; Primates; Cercopithecidae. The record is from Rfam by way of RNAcentral.
UGAACUUUAAAAUGCAAGUUCACAGUUCUUUAAGAGACUAACACAGAAAGCCAAAGUAAUUAUCCAUAGAACCCGGAGACGAGAUUGUAAAACUCCUCUGUAGAUCCUGUCUGGAGUCACAGCU